RNAcentral lists this ribosomal RNA (528 nucleotides) under Hemistomia sp. NeKa12_1. Its description in RNAcentral is "partial 16S ribosomal RNA". It matches the Rfam family "Bacterial large subunit ribosomal RNA", at positions 1817 to 2619 of the family's 2925-position model. Lineage: Eukaryota; Metazoa; Mollusca; Gastropoda; Littorinimorpha; Tateidae. The record is from RNAcentral.
GGCUCUUUGAUUAGCAUAUAUAAAGAGUCGAGCCUGCCCAGUGAUGUAUUUAACGGCCGCGGUACUCUGACCGUGCAAAGGUAGCAUAAUCAUUUGCCUUAUAAUUGAAGGCUAGUAUGAAUGGUUUGACGAAAACAAAACUGUCUCUUUUUAAUUUUUUAGAACUUGAUUUUUAGGUGAAGAAGCCUAAAUACAAUUGAAAGACAAGAAGACCCUAUCGAGCUUUAAAAAAUUUUGUUAAAAUAAAAUAGAUAUAAAGACUAAUUAUAACAAAAAAUUUUAGUUGGGGCGACUAAGGAACAAAAAAGCUUCCAAUUUUAUACUUAUAACAUAUUGGUUUUGAUCCAAAAUUUUUGAUUAAAAGAAUUAGUUACCGUAGGGAUAACAGCAUAAUCUUUUUUGAGAGUUCUUAUCGAAAAAAAGGUUUGUGACCUCGAUGUUGGACUAGAAUAUCCUAAAUGGCGCAGAAGUCUUUAAGGGUUGGUCUGUUCGACCACUAAUAUUCUACGUGAUCUGAGUUCAGACCGG